This 462-nucleotide ribosomal RNA is filed under the name Triticum aestivum (bread wheat). RNAcentral describes it as "partial small subunit ribosomal RNA". Lineage: Eukaryota; Viridiplantae; Streptophyta; Magnoliopsida; Poales; Poaceae. The record is from RNAcentral.
AUGGCCCCCAAGGCAGACAAGAAGCCCGCGGCCGAGAACAAGGUCGAGAAGGCGGCGGAGAAGACCCCCGCGGGCAAGAAGCCCAAGGCCGAGAAGCGGCUGCCGGCGGGCAAGACGGCGUCCAAGGAGGCCGGCGGCGAGGGGAAGACCCGGGGCCGGAAGAAGGGCAGCAAGGCGAAGAAGGGCGUGGAGACGUACAAGAUCUACAUCUUCAAGGUGCUGAAGCAGGUGCACCCCGACAUCGGCAUCUCCUCCAAGGCCAUGUCCAUCAUGAACUCCUUCAUCAACGACAUCUUCGAGAAGCUCGCCGGCGAGUCCGCCAAGCUCGCCCGCUACAACAAGAAGCCCACCAUCACCUCCCGGGAGAUCCAGACCUCCGUCCGCCUCGUCCUCCCCGGCGAGCUCGCCAAGCACGCCGUCUCCGAGGGCACCAAGGCUGUCACCAAGUUCACCUCCUCCUAG